This 1095-nucleotide long non-coding RNA is filed under the name Homo sapiens (human). Its description in RNAcentral is "HSALNT0027330". The record is from RNAcentral. Lineage: Eukaryota; Metazoa; Chordata; Mammalia; Primates; Hominidae.
CAGGUGUGGAAAGCACCGAUGCAGGUGGUACCGUUUGACUGUGAGCCUCAGCACGGACCCAGCCCCAGCACGGACCCAGCCUCAGCGUUCCUCUCUCCAGUGGAAAGCUUGGACAGGUCGCGUCUCUGGAUCUGUAGAGACACAAACUCAAGUCAGUUCUCCAUCCGGAACUGUCAGUGGCAGGCCAUGGUGCCCGGCAGCAGGCAUCUCAGGCUACUGGCAGCCGAGGGGCUCCUGCAGGGCAGAGGGCCAGGGCACUGCCCUGGCACUGUCCAAGGUUCAAAUCCCACAGCUCCACGUAUUCUCCAUGCGACUCUGACUUCUCACAGCCACAGCUUUCACUGGCGCAAAACGCAGAUAAUAAUUGUGUGAGGCGCAGGCUGGCACAGGCGGGCUCUCAACAAAUCAGGCCUAUUGUUAUUAGCAACGGAGGACCUCGCAAAUUCCGAGAGUCUGGUGAGUGGAGGACACCUAGCUGGCCAGCAGCCUUGUGGUGCAACAUUUUGCCAGCCCUGGUGACCGCUUGUGAAGGAAGAAUAAAACUCGCCCCACGUGCCACUAGUCCAAGGCUGGCCUUGCAGGGGCUCACCUGGAGACCCCAGACUCGGGGUGCUUGUCUAGGACCCCGAGAGCUCCCCUUUCGCAGCUCCACCUGCUGCACUGCUGCUGCUCCCCCCAGUCAGCUUCGGAGGAGCAUUAUUGCUUUACUUCUUGAAACAAGACCGAGCUGGCCUUGACCCACGGCAUUUGCAGGGAGGGAGAAGAGGUGGGCCUCGCAGAAGGGCUCCUUCCGUGAAGCCAAGAUGCAGGGCGGCUGGGAAACGCUGGUGCCAGGGAAGCUGGAACUCCCUCUGCUCCCUCUUGCCCUGGUCCCGCUGCCCUGGGAUGUCUCUCCCUCUCUCACAUUCAGAGACACGAGCACAAGUAGACCGUGGUGUCCUGCACGGAGUGUGAAUCUCGGCCCCAAACACUCCAUCACCAGCUGGAGCAGCUGCCGGGGCUUCUCUGGUCCUCGGUCUGCUCAUCUGUAAAUCGGCCUCACCAGAAGCAGAUGUCGGCGCCACACUUUCUGUUCAGCCUGCAGAACUGGGAUCC